GACGAACGCUGGCGGUGUGCUUCACACAUGCAAGUCGAACGAGGUAGCAAUACCUAGUGGCGGACGGGUGAGUAACGCGUGGGAAUCUGCCUUUAGAUGGGGGAUAACGGGUCGAAAGACUCGCUAAUACCGCAUAUGACGAAAGUUGAAAGGAGUAAUCCGUCUAAAGAUGAGCCCGCGUCCGAUUAGCUAGUUGGUAGAGUAAAAGCCUACCAAGGCGACGAUCGGUAGCUGGUCUGAGAGGAUGAUCAGCCACAAUGGGAACUAGAGACACGGCCCGAUACUCCUACGGAGGCAGCAGUGGGAAUUUACGCAAUGGCGAAAGCCUGACGUAGCGACACCGCGUGAGCG
This 351-nucleotide ribosomal RNA is filed under the name uncultured bacterium. RNAcentral's name for it is "bacterial SSU rRNA". It matches the Rfam family "Bacterial small subunit ribosomal RNA", at positions 28 to 407 of the family's 1533-position model. The record is from RNAcentral.